This 254-nucleotide ribosomal RNA is filed under the name uncultured bacterium. RNAcentral's name for it is "partial 16S ribosomal RNA". It matches the Rfam family "Bacterial small subunit ribosomal RNA", at positions 524 to 776 of the family's 1533-position model. The record is from RNAcentral.
UACAGGGGGGGGCAAGCGUUGUUCGGAAUUACUGGGCGUAAAGGGCUCGUAGGCGGCCAACUAAGUCACACGUGAAAUCCCCAGGCUUAACCUGGGAACUGCGUGUGAUACUGGAUGGCUUGAAUCCGGGAGAGGGAUGCAGAAUUCCAGGUGUAGCGGUGAAAUGCGUAGAUAUCUGGAGGAAUACCGGUGGCGAAGGCGGCAUCCUGGACCGGCAUUGACGCUGAUGAGCGAAAGCCAGGGGAGCAAACGGG